This 854-nucleotide ribosomal RNA is filed under the name uncultured bacterium. RNAcentral's name for it is "bacterial SSU rRNA". It matches the Rfam family "Bacterial small subunit ribosomal RNA", at positions 9 to 910 of the family's 1533-position model. The record is from RNAcentral.
GAGUUUGAUCCUGGCUCAGAACGAACGCUGGCGGCAGGCCUAACACAUGCAAGUCGAGCGAGACCUUCGGGUCUAGCGGCGGACGGGUUAGUAACGCGUGGGAACGUGCCCUUCUCUGCGGAAUAGCCACUGGAAACGGUGAGUAAUACCGCAUACGCCCUUCGGGGGAAAGAUUUAUCGGAGAAGGAUCGGCCCGCGUUAGAUUAGAUAGUUGGUGGGGUAAUGGCCUACCAAGUCUACGAUCUAUAGCUGGUUUUAGAGGAUGAUCAGCAACACUGGGACUGAGACACGGCCCAGACUCCUACGGGAGGCAGCAGUGGGGAAUCUUAGACAAUGGGCGCAAGCCUGAUCUAGCCAUGCCGCGUGUGUGAUGAAGGUCUUAGGAUCGUAAAGCACUUUCGCCAGGGAUGAUAAUGACAGUACCUGGUAAAGAAACCCCGGCUAACUCCGUGCCAGCAGCCGCGGUAAUACGGAGGGGGUUAGCGUUGUUCGGAAUUACUGGGCGUAAAGCGUACGUAGGCGGAUCAGAAAGUUGGGGGUGAAAUCCCGGGGCUCAACCCCGGAACUGCCUCCAAAACUCCUGGUCUUGAGUUCGAGAGAGGUGAGUGGAAUUCCAAGUGUAGAGGUGAAAUUCGUAGAUAUUUGGGGGAACACCAGUGGCGAAGGCGGCUCACUGGCUCGAUACUGACGCUGAGGUACGAAAGUGUGGGGAGCAAACAGGAUUAGAUACCCUGGUAGUCCACACCGUAAACGAUGAAUGCCAGUCGUCGGGCAGUAUACUGUUCGGUGACACACCUAACGGAUUAAGCAUUCCGCCUGGGGAGUACGGUCGCAAGAUUAAAACUCAAAGGAAU